RNAcentral lists this ribosomal RNA (432 nucleotides) under uncultured bacterium. RNAcentral describes it as "bacterial SSU rRNA". It matches the Rfam family "Bacterial small subunit ribosomal RNA", at positions 373 to 793 of the family's 1533-position model. The record is from RNAcentral.
GGGCGCAAGCCUGAUGCAGCCAUGCCGCGUGUAUGAAGAAGGACUUCGGGUUGUAAAGUACGUUCAGCAGUGAGGAAGGUGGAUAUGUUAAUAGCAUAUUCAGUUUGACGUUAGCUGCAGAAGAAGCACCGGCUAACUCCGUGCCAGCAGCCGCGGUAAUACGGAGGGUGCGAGCGUUAAUCGGAAGUUACUGGGCGUAAAGCGCAUGCAGGUGGUUUGUUAAGUCAGAUGUGAAAGCCCCGGGGCUCAACCUCGGAAUUGCAUUUGAAACUGGCAAACUAGAGUACUGUAGAGGGGGGUAGAAUUUCAGGUGUAGCGGUGAAAUGCGUAGAGAUCUGAAGGAAUACCGGUGGCGAAGGCGGCCCCCCUGGACAGAUACUGACACUCAGAUGCGAAAGCGUGGGGAGCAAACAGGAUUAGAUACCCUGGUAG